RNAcentral lists this ribosomal RNA (1489 nucleotides) under Lactiplantibacillus argentoratensis. RNAcentral's name for it is "bacterial SSU rRNA". It matches the Rfam family "Bacterial small subunit ribosomal RNA". The record is from RNAcentral. Lineage: Bacteria; Bacillati; Bacillota; Bacilli; Lactobacillales; Lactobacillaceae.
GACGAACGCUGGCGGCGUGCCUAAUACAUGCAAGUCGAACGAACUCUGGUAUUGAUUGGUGCUUGCAUCAUGAUUUACAUUUGAGUGAGUGGCGAACUGGUGAGUAACACGUGGGAAACCUGCCCAGAAGCGGGGGAUAACACCUGGAAACAGAUGCUAAUACCGCAUAACAACUUGGACCGCAUGGUCCGAGCUUGAAAGAUGGCUUCGGCUAUCACUUUUGGAUGGUCCCGCGGCGUAUUAGCUAGAUGGUGGGGUAACGGCUCACCAUGGCAAUGAUACGUAGCCGACCUGAGAGGGUAAUCGGCCACAUUGGGACUGAGACACGGCCCAAACUCCUACGGGAGGCAGCAGUAGGGAAUCUUCCACAAUGGACGAAAGUCUGAUGGAGCAACGCCGCGUGAGUGAAGAAGGGUUUCGGCUCGUAAAACUCUGUUGUUAAAGAAGAACAUAUCUGAGAGUAACUGUUCAGGUAUUGACGGUAUUUAACCAGAAAGCCACGGCUAACUACGUGCCAGCAGCCGCGGUAAUACGUAGGUGGCAAGCGUUGUCCGGAUUUAUUGGGCGUAAAGCGAGCGCAGGCGGUUUUUUAAGUCUGAUGUGAAAGCCUUCGGCUCAACCGAAGAAGUGCAUCGGAAACUGGGAAACUUGAGUGCAGAAGAGGACAGUGGAACUCCAUGUGUAGCGGUGAAAUGCGUAGAUAUAUGGAAGAACACCAGUGGCGAAGGCGGCUGUCUGGUCUGUAACUGACGCUGAGGCUCGAAAGUAUGGGUAGCAAACAGGAUUAGAUACCCUGGUAGUCCAUACCGUAAACGAUGAAUGCCAAGUGUUGGAGGGUUUCCGCCCUUCAGUGCUGCAGCUAACGCAUUAAGCAUUCCGCCUGGGGAGUACGGCCGCAAGGCUGAAACUCAAAGGAAUUGACGGGGGCCCGCACAAGCGGUGGAGCAUGUGGUUUAAUUCGAAGCUACGCGAAGAACCUUACCAGGUCUUGACAUACUAUGAAAAUCUAAGAGAUUAGACGUUCCCUUCGGGGACAUGGAUACAGGUGGUGCAUGGUUGUCGUCAGCUCGUGUCGUGAGAUGUUAGGUUAAGUCCCGCAACGAGCGCAACCCUUAUUAUCAGUUGCCAGCAUUAAGUUGGGCACUCUGGUGAGACUGCCGGUGACAAACCGGAGGAAGGUGGGGAUGACGUCAAAUCAUCAUGCCCCUUAUGACCUGGGCUACACACGUGCUACAAUGGAUGGUACAACGAGUUGCGAACUCGCGAGAGUAAGCUAAUCUCUUAAAGCCAUUCUCAGUUCGGAUUGUAGGCUGCAACUCGCCUACAUGAAGUCGGAAUCGCUAGUAAUCGCGGAUCAGCAUGCCGCGGUGAAUACGUUCCCGGGCCUUGUACACACCGCCCGUCACACCAUGAGAGUUUGUAACACCCAAAGUCGGUGGGGUAACCUUUUAGGAACCAGCCGCCUAAGGUGGGACAGAUGAUUUGGGUG